AUGAACGCUGGCGGCGUGCCUAAUACCUGCCAGUCGAGCGCACGGACGAGAAGCUUGCUUCUCUGAUGUUAGCGGCGGACGGGUGAGUAACACGUGGAUAACCUACCUAUAAGACUGGGAUAACUUCGGGAAACCGGAUCUAAUACCGGAUGAUAUUUUGAACCGCAUGGUUCAAAAGUGAAAGACGGUCUUGCUGUCACUUAUAGAUGGAUCCGCGCUGCAUUAGCUAGUUGGUAAGGUAACGGCUUACCAAGGCAACGAUGCAUAGCCGACCUGAGAGGGUGGUCGGCCACACUGGAACGGGAACACGGUCCAGGCUCCUACGGGAGGCAGCAGUAGGGAAUCUUCCGCAAUGGGGGAAAGCCUUACGGAGCAACGCCGCGUGAGUGAUGAAGGUCUUCGGAUCGUAAAACUCUGUUAUUAGGGAAGAACAUAUGUGUAAGUAACUGUGCACAUCUUGACGGUACCUAAUCAGAAAGCCACGGCUAACUACGUG
This 496-nucleotide ribosomal RNA is filed under the name uncultured bacterium. Its description in RNAcentral is "partial 16S ribosomal RNA". It matches the Rfam family "Bacterial small subunit ribosomal RNA", at positions 29 to 507 of the family's 1533-position model. The record is from RNAcentral.